Molecule: non-coding RNA, 1233 nt
Organism: Ornithorhynchus anatinus (platypus)
Lineage: Eukaryota; Metazoa; Chordata; Mammalia; Monotremata; Ornithorhynchidae
Source: the annotation of a RefSeq genome assembly
UCUGGGAAUCUGAUCAGGGCUUCUGCUGGAAACAUCUUUCUGAGGCAGAGGGCAGGGACUCAAUCCCAGAAGGUGGCUGCUGUGCCUUUAUAGAGAGGAGGAGAUGCAAAUUAGACCCCUCCAGCCCUGAUUAAAGCCUGCAUGGCCCCUGUCCCUGCAGCUCUGGGAGAAGAGCCCCAGAUCCUGUCUGUGCUGUUCCCUUCCUGCCCCCAGAACUGUCCUCAUAGUCCCCACCAUGCAGUCUGUCCUCAGUGUGUUUUCCAUCCUAACCCUGCUCCAAGGUGUGCAGGGUGAUGUCCAACUGGUGGAGUCUGGGGGAGACUUGAGACAGCCUGGCGGGUCUCUGCGCCUCUCCUGUAAAGCCUCUGGAUUGACCUACAGCAGCUACUUCAUGCACUGGGUCCGCCAGGCUCCAGGGAAGGGGCUGGAGUGGGUCGCUAGAGUUUAUCAUGAUGGGAACUACAUAGGUUAUGCAGACUCUGUGAAAGGCCGAUUCACCAUCUCCUGGGACAAGGCCAACAGCCUCCUGAGUUUGCAGAUGAAUAGCCUGAAAACCGAGGACACGGCCCUGUAUUACUGCGCUACAGACACAGUGAGAGAAACCACAUUCUGGACCUGUCAGAAACUGCGGGAGAAUUUCUGGGCUGCAGCUGGCUGGGGAAGCAGAGCAGCAGAGACCCCACACAACAACCUUGGCCUCUAAGACUAAUCGUUAAUUAUAUUAAUAAGGUUAACAAUUCCAAAUUGGGAUGUAAAAUGAAAUGGGAACCAGAGCUUGAUUUUUUUUCUACAUCUAAUGAAUAUCUAAGAAAAUGCUUCCAAGGCAGCCGGACAAGUGGCAGUGCAUUUCAGAUGAAAUAUAAACCUAAUGGAAUCAGUCCUGAAAUAUAUUUUAAAAUUCACUGAUUACUAGGAAAUGUUUGCAAUUUUGUUAGUAAAUAUAAUACUUUGUAGAAAUAUGAUCCCACUAUACUCAGGCAGCAAAUCAACACACACCUCCAGAGACCCACAAAGACAGGCUCUGAUUCAGGGAAGGAGACACAGAGGGACAGGAGCAGGAAUCAAAUGAAGCGAGGCCUGCUGAUGCCUGGGAAGAGUGUGUGCCUUCAUAGGAUAUAAACACACAGGAACCAUCUUUAAACAUGAUAGAGAAAGAGCCUGCUUAGUUCAGAAAAGUAACAAAAGCAGAAACUAAAAAUGGUAUGAAUAGUUGGUUUAAAGGAUUUAAGCAAA